RNAcentral lists this ribosomal RNA (671 nucleotides) under Salmonella enterica subsp. enterica serovar Enteritidis. RNAcentral's name for it is "partial 23S ribosomal RNA". It matches the Rfam family "Bacterial large subunit ribosomal RNA", at positions 1 to 599 of the family's 2925-position model. Lineage: Bacteria; Pseudomonadati; Pseudomonadota; Gammaproteobacteria; Enterobacterales; Enterobacteriaceae. The record is from RNAcentral.
GGGUUGUGAGGUUAAGCGACUAAGCGUACACGGUGGAUGCCCUGGCAGUCAGAGGCGAUGAAGGGCGUGCUAAUCUGCGAUAAGCGCCGGUAAGGUGAUAUGAACCGUUAUAACCGGCGAUACCCGAAUGGGGAAACCCAGUGUGACUCGUCACACUAUCAUUAACUGAAUCCAUAGGUUAAUGAGGCGAACCGGGGGAACUGAAACAUCUAAGUACCCCGAGGAAAAGAAAUCAACCGAGAUUCCCCCAGUAGCGGCGAGCGAACGGGGAGGAGCCCAGAGCCUGAAUCAGCAUGUGUGUUAGUGGAAGCGUCUGGAAAGGCGCGCGAUACAGGGUGACAGCCCCGUACACAAAAGCGCAUGUGCUGUGAGCUCGAUGAGUAGGGCGGGACACGUGGUAUCCUGUCUGAAUAUGGGGGGACCAUCCUCCAAGGCUAAAUACUCCUGACUGACCGAUAGUGAACCAGUACCGUGAGGGAAAGGCGAAAAGAACCCCGGCGAGGGGAGUGAAAAAGAACCUGAAACCGUGUACGUACAAGCAGUGGGAGCCCCACCACCAAAGCAUUUGCUGUACCGCGUUGACGGAGCGAAGCGACGUCAAACCGAUAAAACAGCAGUGUAAAGUGAGCCGCAGGGCGCUUUGCGCGACAGCGCAAAGGCAGGCGGUUUCG